Aphanomyces cochlioides is the source of this 73-nucleotide non-coding RNA. NCBI's taxonomy places the organism in Eukaryota, Oomycota, Saprolegniomycetes, Saprolegniales, Verrucalvaceae. The record is from the annotation of a GenBank genome assembly.
AUCUACGUGGCCCAAUUGGAUGAGGCAUUUGCCUACGAAGCGGGAGAUUGCGGUUCGAGUCCCGUAGUGGACU